RNAcentral lists this transfer RNA (72 nucleotides) under Camelus bactrianus (Bactrian camel). It matches the Rfam family "tRNA". From Rfam's summary of the family: Transfer RNA (tRNA) molecules are approximately 80 nucleotides in length. RNAcentral also lists the same sequence under 2 other names. The record is from Rfam by way of RNAcentral. Lineage: Eukaryota; Metazoa; Chordata; Mammalia; Artiodactyla; Camelidae.
GAAGGUAUAGCUCAGUGGUAGAGCACAUGCUUAGCAUGUGCAAGGUCCUGGGUUCAAUCCCCAAUACCUCUG